GUGGGUAUAGCUCAAUGGCAGAGCUCAUGCUUAGCAGGUAUGUGGUCCCAGGUUCAAUCCUCAGUACCUCCA
Molecule: transfer RNA, 72 nt
Filed under: Camelus bactrianus (Bactrian camel)
Lineage: Eukaryota; Metazoa; Chordata; Mammalia; Artiodactyla; Camelidae
Also listed under: 1 other name
Rfam family: tRNA
About the family: Transfer RNA (tRNA) molecules are approximately 80 nucleotides in length. Their secondary structure includes four short double-helical elements and three loops (D, anti-codon, and T loops).
Source: Rfam by way of RNAcentral